This 253-nucleotide ribosomal RNA is filed under the name uncultured bacterium. RNAcentral's name for it is "partial 16S ribosomal RNA". It matches the Rfam family "Bacterial small subunit ribosomal RNA", at positions 524 to 776 of the family's 1533-position model. The record is from RNAcentral.
UACGGAGGGGGCAAGCGUUGUUCGGAAUUAUUGGGCGUAAAGAGUAUGUAGGCGGCUAUUUAAGUCAGGCGUGCAAGCCCACGGCUCAACCGUGGGAUUGCGUUUGAAACUAUUUAGCUUGAGUACAGGAGAGGAAGGCGGAAUUCCCAGUGUAGCGGUGAAAUGCAUUGAUAUUGGGAAGAACACCGGUGGCGAAGGCGGCUCACUGGGUCUCUUCUGACGCUGAGGCACGAAAGCUAGGGUAGCGAACGGG